RNAcentral lists this ribosomal RNA (454 nucleotides) under uncultured bacterium. Its description in RNAcentral is "partial 16S ribosomal RNA". It matches the Rfam family "Bacterial small subunit ribosomal RNA", at positions 28 to 507 of the family's 1533-position model. The record is from RNAcentral.
GAUGAACGCUGACAGAAUGCUUAACACAUGCAAGUCAACUUUAACUUCGGUUUGGGUGGCGGACGGGUGAGUAACGCGUAAAGAACUUGCCUCACAGAUAGGGACAACAUUUGGAAACGCAUGCUAAUACCUGAUAUUAUGAUUAUAUGGCAUCGUAUAAUUAUGAAAGCUAUAUGCGCUGUGAGAGAGCUUUGCGUCCCAUUAGCUAGUUGGAGAGGUAACGGCUCACCAAGGCGAUGAUGGGUAGCCGGCCUGAGAGGGUGAUCGGCCACAAGGGGACUGAGACACGGCCCAUAAUACUACGGGAGGCAGCAGUGGGGAAUAUUGGACAAGGGACCAAGAGUCUGAUCCAGCAAUUCUGUGUGGACGAAAAAGUUUUUCGGAAUGUAAAGUGCUUUCAGUUGGGAAGAAAAAAAUGACGGUACCAACAGAAGAAGUGACGGCUAAAUACGUG